RNAcentral lists this long non-coding RNA (214 nucleotides) under Panax ginseng (ginseng). RNAcentral's name for it is "long non-coding RNA (PGIN_LNC001692)". Lineage: Eukaryota; Viridiplantae; Streptophyta; Magnoliopsida; Apiales; Araliaceae. The record is from RNAcentral.
GAAAAUUUAAUUGAUGAGGAACCAUGAAGGGUUCAGAAGAAAUAAGGUGAAUUGGUUAUGGAGGAUGUUUAUAUAUACAUUGAUUUCAUGAAAUAUGAAAAUUUUCAAUGUAUGCAUGUAAGGUAUUUGUGAAAAUGCAAAAAUGAUAUAUUAAGAAUAAUAUGCUAGCUGAGAUAUGAAAUAUCUUUUGUCCCAGAUAAUGUUUUGAAGAAAU